Molecule: long non-coding RNA, 308 nt
Filed under: Malus domestica (apple)
Lineage: Eukaryota; Viridiplantae; Streptophyta; Magnoliopsida; Rosales; Rosaceae
Description: long non-coding RNA (MDOM_LNC012887)
Source: RNAcentral
CAAGGGAUUUGGGUGAUUGUCCGUACGGGUUCGAAGGAGAGAGAGAGUGAAACCGAGAGAGAGUACGGGAGUGAGAGAGAGAAAGUGAUGUGGAUGUGUGUGUGGUCCUAUCUGCACAUCCACCAAUCAAACCAAUAUUUUCUUCACUUGCAAUUGGGUCCAUCAUAAUAGGGAUUCAUCAAAUUGGUCCUUAAACCAAAACUAAGUCACACCAAGCCAUCAACGCUUAAGGGGUAAUUCCAUCUUUUCACGUCAUCGAGAAUAAAAUAAUGUACAUCUCCGGGACGGGCUAUGACAAUCCUUACAUG